Molecule: ribosomal RNA, 468 nt
Filed under: uncultured bacterium
Lineage: Bacteria
Description: partial 16S ribosomal RNA
Rfam family: Bacterial small subunit ribosomal RNA
Source: RNAcentral
GACGAACGCUGGCGGCGUGCUUAACACAUGCAAGUCGAACGGAAAGGCCCUGCUCUUGUGGGGUGCUCGAGUGGCGAACGGGUGAGUAACACGUGAGUAUCCUGCCCUUGACUUUGGGAUAACUCCUGGAAACUGGGGCUAAUAUAGGAUAGGAGCUCCUGCUGCACGGUGGGGGUUGGAAAGUUUCGGCGGUUGGGGCUGGACUCGCGGCUUAUCAGCUUGUUGGUGAGGUAGUGGCUGACCAAGGUUUUGACGGGUAGCCGGCCUGAGCGGGGGACCAGCCACAAUGGGACUGAGAUACGGCCCAGUCGCCUACGGGAGGCAGCAGGGGGGAAUAUUGCAGAAUGGGCGGAAGCCUGAGGCAGCGGCGCCGCGUGCGGGAUGACGGCCUUCGGGUUAUAAACCGCUGUCGCCUGUGACGAAGCGUGAUUGACGGUAAUGGGUAAAAAAGCACCGGCUAACUACGUG